GACGAACGCUGGCGGCGUGCUUAACACAUGCAAGUCGAACGGAAAGGCCCUGCUUUUGUGGGGUGCUCGAGUGGCGAACGGGUGAGUAACACGUGAGUAACCUGCCCUUGACUUUGGGAUAACUUCAGGAAACUGGGGCUAAUACCGGAUAGGAGCUCCUGCUGCAUGGGGGGGGUUGGAAAGUUUCGGCGGUUGGGGAUGGACUCGCGGCUUAUCAGCUUGUUGGUGGGGUAGUGGCUUACCAAGGCUUUGACGGGUAGCCGGCCUGAGAGGGUGACCGGCCACAUUGGGACUGAGACACGCACCAGACUCCUACGGGAGGCAGCAGUGGGGAAUCUUGCACAAUGGGCGGAAGCCUGAUGCAGCGACGCCGCGUGCGGGAUGACGGCCUUCGGGUUGUAAACCGCUUUCGCCUGUGACGAAGCGUGAGUGACGGUAAUGGGUAAAGAAGCACCGGCUAACUACGUG
RNAcentral lists this ribosomal RNA (468 nucleotides) under uncultured bacterium. RNAcentral describes it as "partial 16S ribosomal RNA". It matches the Rfam family "Bacterial small subunit ribosomal RNA", at positions 28 to 507 of the family's 1533-position model. The record is from RNAcentral.